Molecule: long non-coding RNA, 301 nt
Filed under: Eucalyptus grandis
Lineage: Eukaryota; Viridiplantae; Streptophyta; Magnoliopsida; Myrtales; Myrtaceae
Description: long non-coding RNA (EGRA_LNC002558)
Source: RNAcentral
CGGGUCAAUAUUUUUUAUUAUCAUAACUUAAUAUGACAAAUUUCCUAACGAUAAAAUAAAUCAAAACAAAUCAAGUUAGAAUAUAUAAAAAAAAAAAAACAUGAAAUCAAAUAUCUAGAAAAUCACCUAGUCCAACUCACGGUUUGCUUGAGGAAUGGCGAGGAGCAGCUGGUUGAACUGCGAUGGUGGCUCGCCGUUCGGAACAAGGGCUAUCCGUCGGAGCUCCGGCGAGGUUCGGAAGUAACCAGACCUGCAGCAAAACAGAGGAGGCAGCAAAUGGUCCUGUUCGGGCGUGGAGCCG